AGUUGCACGCGGGAGUUGGAGAUGGGGGGGUGAUAGAUGCAGCUGUGAGCUCCGGGGUUUUCAGCCUCCACCAGAUACUGUUCAUUAACACAGAUGUUUGCAGACUUGGCCACGUGGAAGCCCACCGGGAGAAUUCGGGCGGGGGUGUCCUGGAAUUUACCUCCUAAGUCUGGGGUGGAGGUGGAGACAGUAUUAAAAAGAAGAAGUUAUAUAAUCGUCGGAACGAUUACCCUGAUGUAAACCAGAAUGAAGGUGAACAAGCGUGUGCAAGCAGAUAAAGGGAGAAGUUGCAGAUUUCGCGCGUCGGAUCUCGAGGCCGGAAGAGAGGAGCGAGUUUGCAGCGGGCCGGCAGUGCAGGCAGUUCUGGCUUCUGCAGACAUCCUAGGAAACUUUGGCGCCUUCCCCUCGGCUCCCAAAUCUCCCCAAGUGCAUCCCUCUCUACGAAGCCCCCCAAAUAUGCCACCUGGGCUCCAAGUCGCCUUUAGCUAGGUUUGGAAGUGCAGCCCACACUUAACAAAACAUCUGCUCCUCCUGACCUUUA
Molecule: long non-coding RNA, 541 nt
Organism: Suricata suricatta (meerkat)
Lineage: Eukaryota; Metazoa; Chordata; Mammalia; Carnivora; Herpestidae
Exons: 2
Source: RefSeq, a predicted model, not a curated record